AAUACUUUUUUAAUGUUGCUUAAAUGAAGAAAGAUAUGUUAAACAUCCAAAACUCCACCUGAUAACUAUUGAGACACUGGUCAAUAUGUCGCUCAAUCCAAGUCGACCGUCUUCAUCAGAGUUGGUGGAACUUCAUGUUUUUUAUGUCCCUGAAGGAUCGUGGAACUAUAAAUUAAAUACUAUUUCAAUAGAAGUUAUUAACAACUUUAUUUCUGCUGGAUUUAUAAGAGUGUCUCCUCAACUUACUUUACAAGCUCUGAGGGAGCGUCUUGGUGAGUUUCUUGGUGUAGAUGCUGUUGCAGAAAAAUUUUUAUUUCUGAAAUGCAUUGGAAAUAAUUUAGCUGUGGUAAAGGAAAAGCAAGAAUCAGAAUUGAAACUCAAGUCAUUUGCUCCUCCAUAUGCACUUCAACCAGAAUUAUAUUUGCUUCCUGUAAUAGAUCACUUAGGAAAUGUUUAUUCAGCGUCGACAGUUAAUUUAGACGAACAGCAGAGUGUUGAUGAUACUAUGGAGAUUGACGGAACAAUCCACAGACCAGAUAGUUUGUCUUUGUCAAAGGAUGAACCUGGAGAUCCAAGUUUGUUGGAAAAUACAUGGAGAGACUUUCCAAAUCACGAAGAAGGUGAUUUCAACUAAAAUGGGAAAAACAAGAGUUCCUUAUAAUAAAUUUGAGCUAUCAAGCCG
Molecule: long non-coding RNA, 682 nt
Filed under: Rattus norvegicus (Norway rat)
Lineage: Eukaryota; Metazoa; Chordata; Mammalia; Rodentia; Muridae
Description: long non-coding RNA NONRATT016935
Source: RNAcentral